UCCUACGGGAGGCAGCAGUGAGGAAUUUUCCGCAAUGGGCCGCAAGCCUGACGGAGCGACGCUGCGUGAGGGAUGACACGCCUUCGGGUUGUAAACCUCUUUUUAUUGGGGCGAUAAUGACGGUACCAAUAGAAUAAGCAACGGCCAACUACGUGCCAGCAGCCGCGGUAAU
This 172-nucleotide ribosomal RNA is filed under the name uncultured bacterium. Its description in RNAcentral is "partial 16S ribosomal RNA". It matches the Rfam family "Bacterial small subunit ribosomal RNA", at positions 337 to 524 of the family's 1533-position model. The record is from RNAcentral.